This 274-nucleotide ribosomal RNA is filed under the name uncultured bacterium. RNAcentral's name for it is "partial 16S ribosomal RNA". It matches the Rfam family "Bacterial small subunit ribosomal RNA", at positions 523 to 796 of the family's 1533-position model. The record is from RNAcentral.
AUACGGAGGGUGCAAGCGUUACUCGGAAUCACUGGGCGUAAAGCGCGCGCAGGCGGCUUGAUAAGUUGGAUGUGAAAGCCUACGGCUCAACCGUAGAACUGCAUCCAAAACUGUCAAGCUAGAGUCUGGGAGGGGAAGAUGGAAUUAGUUGUGUAGGGGUAAAAUCCGUAGAGAUAACUAGGAAUACCAAAAGCGAAGGCAAUCUUCUGGAACAUUACUGACGCUGAGGCGCGAAAGCGUGGGGAGCAAACAGGAUUAGAUACCCGGGUAGUCC